GACGAACGCUGGCGGCGUGCUUAACACUUGCAAGUCUAACGGAAAGGCCCUGCUUUUGUGGGGUGCUCGAGUGGCGAACGGGUGAUUAACACGUUAGUAACCUGCCCUUGACUUUGGGAUAACUUCAGGAAACUGGGGCUAAUACCGGAUAGGAGCUCCUUCUGCAUGGUGGGGGUUGGAAAGUUUCGGCGGUUGGGGAUGUACUCGCGGCUUAUCAGCUUGUUGGUGGGGUAGUGGCUUACCAAGGCUUUGACGGGUAGCCGGCCUGAGAGGGUGACCGGCCACAUUGGGACUGAGAUACGGCCCAGACUCCUACGGGAGGCAGCAGUGGGGAAUAUUGCACAAUGGGCGGAAGCCUGAUGCAGCAACGCCGCGUGCGGGAUGACGGCCUUCGGGUUGUAAACCGCUUUCGCCUGUGACGAAGCGUGAGUGACGGUAAUGGGUAAAGAAGCACCGGCUAACUACGUG
This 468-nucleotide ribosomal RNA is filed under the name uncultured bacterium. RNAcentral describes it as "partial 16S ribosomal RNA". It matches the Rfam family "Bacterial small subunit ribosomal RNA", at positions 28 to 507 of the family's 1533-position model. The record is from RNAcentral.